Molecule: transfer RNA, 72 nt
Filed under: Myxoderma platyacanthum
Lineage: Eukaryota; Metazoa; Echinodermata; Asteroidea; Forcipulatida; Zoroasteridae
Description: tRNA-Leu
Rfam family: tRNA
About the family: Transfer RNA (tRNA) molecules are approximately 80 nucleotides in length. Their secondary structure includes four short double-helical elements and three loops (D, anti-codon, and T loops).
Source: RNAcentral
GUUAAAGUAACAAAAAGGUUAAUGUGUGAGAUUUAGGUUCCCAUAUUGGGAGUUCGAGUCUUCCCUUUAAUU